This 469-nucleotide ribosomal RNA is filed under the name uncultured bacterium. RNAcentral describes it as "partial 16S ribosomal RNA". It matches the Rfam family "Bacterial small subunit ribosomal RNA", at positions 28 to 507 of the family's 1533-position model. The record is from RNAcentral.
GACGAACGCUGGCGGCGUGCUUAACACAUGCAAGUCGAACGGAAAGGCCCUGCUUGCAGGGUGCUCGAGUGGCGAACGGGUGAGUAACACGUGGGUGAUCUGCCCCUUACUUUGGGAUAAGCCUGGGAAACUGGGUCUAAUACUGGAUAGGACCAUGCUGUAGGUGGUGUGGUGGAAAGAUUAGUUUCGGUAAGGGAUGAGCUCGCGGCCUAUCAGCUUGUUGGUGGGGUAAUGGCCUACCAAGGCGUCGACGGGUAGCCGGCCUGAGAGGGUGGACGGCCACAUUGGGACUGCGAUACGGCCCAGACUCCUACGGGAGGCAGCAGUGGGGAAUAUUGCACAAUGGGCGCACGCCUGAUGCAGCGACGCCGCGUGGGGGAUGACGGCCUUCGGGUUGUAAACUCCUUUCAGCCAUGACGAAGCCCUUGUGGUGACGGUAGUGGUAGAAGAAGCACCGGCUAACUACGUG